This 497-nucleotide ribosomal RNA is filed under the name uncultured bacterium. RNAcentral's name for it is "partial 16S ribosomal RNA". It matches the Rfam family "Bacterial small subunit ribosomal RNA", at positions 28 to 507 of the family's 1533-position model. The record is from RNAcentral.
GACGAACGCUGGCGGCGUGCCUAAUACAUGCAAGUUGAGCGCUGAAGGUUGGUACUUGUACCGACUGGAUGAGCAGCGAACGGGUGAGUAACGCGUGGGGAAUCUGCCUUUGAGCGGGGGACAACAUUUGGAAACGAAUGCUAAUACCGCAUAAAAACUUUAAACACAAGUUUUAAGUUUGAAAGAUGCAAUUGCAUCACUCAAAGAUGAUCCCGCGUUGUAUUAGCUAGUUGGUGAGGUAAAGGCUCACCAAGGCGAUGAUACAUAGCCGACCUGAGAGGGUGAUCGGCCACAUUGGGACUGGGACACGGCCCAAACUCCUACGGGAGGCAGCAGUAGGGAAUCUUCGGCAAUGGAUGAAAGUCUGACCGAGCAACGCCGCGUGAGUGAAGAAGGUUUUCGGAUCGUAAAACUCUGUUGGUAGAGAAGAACGUUGGUGAGAGUGGAAAGCUCAUCAAGUGACGGUAACUACCCAGAAAGGGACGGCUAACUACGUG